CCUACGGGUGGCAGCAGUAGGGAAUCUUCCACAAUGGACGAAAGUCUGAUGGAGCAACGCCGCGUGAGUGAAGAAGGGUUUCGGCUCGUAAAGCUCUUUUGGUAGUGAAGAAAGAUAGAGGUAGUAACUGGCCUUUCUUUGACGGUAAUUACUUAGAAAGUCACGUCUAACUACGUGCCAGCAGCCGCGGUAAUACGUAGGGGGCAAGCGUUUUCCGGAUUUGUUGGGCGUAAGGAGAGUGCAGGCGGUUCAAUAAGUCUGAUGUGAAAUCCUGCGGCUUAACCGGAGAAUUGCAUUAGAAACUGUUGAACUUGAGUGCAGAAGAGGAGAGUGGAACUCCAUGUGUAGCGGUGGAAUGCGUAGAUAUAUGGAAGAACACCAGUGGCGAAGGCGGCUCUCUGGUCUGCAACUGACGCUGAUGCUCGAAAGCAUGGGGAGCGAACAGGAUUAGAUACCCCUGUAGUC
RNAcentral lists this ribosomal RNA (465 nucleotides) under uncultured bacterium. RNAcentral's name for it is "partial 16S ribosomal RNA". It matches the Rfam family "Bacterial small subunit ribosomal RNA", at positions 338 to 795 of the family's 1533-position model. The record is from RNAcentral.